Molecule: ribosomal RNA, 316 nt
Filed under: Enterococcus faecalis
Lineage: Bacteria; Bacillati; Bacillota; Bacilli; Lactobacillales; Enterococcaceae
Description: bacterial SSU rRNA
Rfam family: Bacterial small subunit ribosomal RNA
Source: RNAcentral
UUAUUAUGAGAGUUUGAUCCUGGCUCAGGACGAACGCUGGCGGCGUGCCUAAUACAUGCAAGUCGAACGCUUCUUUCCUCCCGAGUGCUUGCACUCAAUUGGAAAGAGGAGUGGCGGACGGGUGAGUAACACGUGGGUAACCUACCCAUCAGAGGGGGAUAACACUUGGAAACAGGUGCUAAUACCGCAUAACAGUUUAUGCCGCAUGGCAUAAGAGUGAAAGGCGCUUUCGGGUGUCGCUGAUGGAUGGACCCGCGGUGCAUUAGCUAGUUGGUGAGGUAACGGCUCACCAAGGCCACGAUGCAUAGCCGACCUG